GCAAGUCGAACGAGAAAGCCCUUCGGGGUUAGUAAAGUGGCGAACGGGUGAGUAACGCGUGAGAAUCUACCCUUUGGUGGAGGAUACCUUUGAGAAAUCGAAGUUAAUCCUGCAUAAGUUCUACGGAAGAAAGACGGCCUCUUGCUGUCGCCAAAGGAUGAGCUUGCGUCCUAUUAGCUUGUUGGUGGGGUAAUAGCCUACCAAGGCGAUGAUGGGUAGCCGGCCUGAGAGGGUGUAC
This 238-nucleotide ribosomal RNA is filed under the name uncultured bacterium. RNAcentral's name for it is "partial 16S ribosomal RNA". It matches the Rfam family "Bacterial small subunit ribosomal RNA", at positions 57 to 305 of the family's 1533-position model. The record is from RNAcentral.